GGCGCGAGGCAGAGCCGGGGGAGGAGCGCGGCCGCCGCGAGGGGAGGGAGGGGGCGCGGCAGGGCCCGCACCGCCGGGUCGCCCCCGCGGGGACCCUCCCCGAGGACCUCCCCGAAACACUCCUCGGAACUGGGGGCUCCAGGGCCUUCAGCUGAUGCUCUCAGGACUGUUACUUCGGACGCAGGCCCGCGGGAGUGCGCCUCGGUUGUACAGCUAGCACCUCUCUGGCCGGGCUGCAGGGAGAAGCCAGUCCCCCGCAAACCCCAUGGAGAAACACGCAGGUACAAGCUGGCCAGUGGGAGCUCCCACCUCCAAGGCGCUGAGACAGUGAUUGCCAUGACCCCGGUGAAUAUGCAGAUCUGGACUGGCCACGAAGUCCCUACGACGGGAAUAGAUUCAGAGAGGACAGAGCUCAGCGGAGGCCACACAGCGCGUCCCCCAACCCGCCCCCGUCCCCGGCCUGCCGAUUCCUGGACACGAUUCUGAGGUCAGCUCCCAGCGCACAGCGGUUUUUGCGCCCCUCGACAGAGACGCCUCGCUCCGAAGCCGGGGCCAUGCCCUGCAUCUGGCCCGGGACGCUCGUGAGGACUGGAACCCCGCGUGAGGGUUUGGAGAAGGUUCUGGUGGUCUUGGUCCCGCCUCUCGUCGGGGGCCGCCCUUUCUCCUCGCCCCUUGGCCUUCAACCCCCUCCUUCUACUUGCCCCGGCCCCGCCCCUUUCCGACUCCCCGGGGGCUCGGUGUCCUUCAGCCCCGCCUCCCUCCCGACCCCGCCCGCAGCCGCGCCCCCAGCCCGGUCCCCGCCCGCUGGGUCCUGCGGUCCCGCUCCCGCCGCUCCGCGGCUUCAGGUCCAGGUGCCUCCUGCUGGGCUGAGCGCGGAAGCUGCGGAGCUAGACUUUCGCCUGCCCCGGAGUCCUCUCCUGGAUCUCUGAUUCUCUGCGGCUCAGGGGAGGUGGAGGAGAUGUUCCGGGACCCCCUGUAGCGUUGCCUGGGCAGCUUCCCCGCCCUACCGAGUCCCGGGAAAAAGGGUGGGCCUGGAACAGGGACAUCUGUGUCCUCCCCGCUCCUCCCCGAUCCUCCUUCCGCGGGACCCCGGGCCGUGUUUCCCACCCCACCCCCACCGCCACCCCCGGGUCGGGACCUGGCCGCUGGGGAGGACGUAGAGACCCGAGGGAGGCAGAUUCCUGCUCUGGGUGGGCAAAAAUGGAACCUCAGCCGCCCCCAAAAAAGCAAAUGGGAGUGAGCUCGCACCCUGUGCCCAGAGGAGUGCCAGAGGGGUCUGGUGAGACACUAAAUGGUGGGGUUGGAGAAGCACCUGGGGUUCCCUGAGGAGGGAUGGAUGCCUCCCAGGAGCCGAGGGACAGGCAGGAGCGCAGGCAAGGUUGUGACACAGCCCCAGCGGGCACUCUGAGGUCAGGGUACCCACCUCUCCAGCUCCCCGCCCCGGGGCCCUGCUUCCUGACCCUUUUGUGCCCGCCCUCUCCUCUGCACCUUUGCACACAGUCCCCUGGACCAGGAAUGCCUAUUCUCCGCUCCAUUCCAGCAGGAAAAGUGGGCAAGGCUCAGGGCAUACUUCCUACGGUCGAAAGCACUUCCUAGAUGCUGGUCAGUCAACCCCCGUGCCCGCGGCAGGGAUCGCCCUGUCCUGUCGUCAUGUCCCACUCCUUCUCUCCCACUGAACCAGGACCUAAUGGCAGGGCCCGAGGCUGACCUCCAAGCAUUGCCCAGAAUGGCGCUGGCCCAGAGCAGGUGUGUUUGGAUCUGGUGUGACCAGUGGAGCAGUAAACAAAUGGCGAGUGGCAGGACCAGCUCUGGGAAACUCAGUUUCCAGAGGAAUUUCCGAGGGCUGGUGACUCCGGAAGUGUCUCCAUCCCAGGGAAAGGAGGAGACGGACGCACUCUAGGGUCCUUCUACUUGCCACAUGACCUCUUUGAUCUCCGAAGGGGGCUUGGCCCUUGGACUCCAUUUCAGAGAUGAGGAGGCAGGCUCUGAGGGAAGGCCUGUGUGGGGCAGUCCUUGCCGAGAGACCUCGGAGGCAAGGGGUCAGGUGUCUCCUCCAGGGCCUCCCCUGCUGGGCCGCCCCACCCCCACCCUGACCCCAGAGCCUAGGGCUGCUGGGCAGGAAGUGAAAGGUGCCUGCAGGAAGCCCCAGGAGGAACUGAGACUUGAGCCAGCCCUGCCUCCACCUGCCCGGGGCCCUGGGGACCUCAGGGAAACCAGAGCCUCCUUCAGGAAAAACUGGGCCAGAAACCCAGGCUGGGGGGAGGGGAAGCUGCUUCCCUAGAUCCCCACCCCAACCAGCAGUUCUUCCAGAGUCUAUCUUGGGUCCCUUUUAAAGCAAAAAGAGACCAGUUGGGGAGAAACAUCUUUGAGGAGUGACGAAAGCAAGUAGUCAAGCCCGGAAUGGAUUCCUGGAGUCCGUCGCCCUCAAGAAGGGCACCUGGGCCUUCUGGACAGGGGUGCCGGGCAGGGGCCAAGCCUCUCUAGCCCAGCUCCACCAGGGUGGGCAGACUGUAGCUUGGGCCAGAUCCUCUCACUCACCUCCAGGGCCUUUUUUUUCCUAUCUGCACAAUGGGACAUCUAAUCCCUGUUGGCGGACAUGAACUGGUCCAGAUUUUUAGGAAACCAAUUCAACCCACAGGGGCCAUAAAAAAACUCAGGCAAAGGUUUAGGUCAAGGAGGCAGCGCCACCUCAGCUACAGUAG
Mustela lutreola (European mink) is the source of this 2702-nucleotide long non-coding RNA. RefSeq lists it as uncharacterized. The record is from RefSeq and is a predicted model, not a curated record. The transcript is spliced from 3 exons. NCBI's taxonomy places the organism in Eukaryota, Metazoa, Chordata, Mammalia, Carnivora, Mustelidae.